AGCAGCCGCGGUAAUUCCAGCUCCAAUAGCGUAUAUUAAAGUUGUUGCAGUUAAAAAGCUCGUAGUUGAAUUUCGGGAUCAGCAGGUUGGUCGUGCCACUGGUAUGUACUGGCCUUGCUGAUUCUUUCCUCUUGAUGAGCCGUAAUGCCAUUAAUUUGGUGUUGCGGGGAAUCAGGACUGUUACUUUGAAAAAUUAGAGUGUUUAAAGCAGGCAAGCGCUUGAAUACAUUAGCAUGGAAUAAUGAGAUAGGACGUUUUGAUCCUAUUUUGUUGGUUUCUAGGAUUGACGUAAUGAUUAAUAGGGAUAGUUGGGGGCAUUAGUAUUCAAUUGUCAGAGGUGAAAUUCUUGGAUUUAUUGAAGAC
RNAcentral lists this small RNA (363 nucleotides) under uncultured Glomus. RNAcentral's name for it is "SSU rRNA". It matches the Rfam family "Eukaryotic small subunit ribosomal RNA", at positions 569 to 936 of the family's 1831-position model. Lineage: Eukaryota; Fungi; Glomeromycota; Glomeromycetes; Glomerales; Glomeraceae. The record is from RNAcentral.